AUCCUUUUUACAUUUAAUUUUCCUGAUUUAAAUUAUGAUUCGACAGUGACUCAAGAGGAAAAUCACUUUCCUAAGGGGUAAAUUCCCUUUUGAUCUCAUAAUUGGUUUUUUUUUUUUUUAAAUUUCUGUGUGUGUGUGGUAGUGGGAUAAAACCUAGGGCCUUCACCCUGAACUACAUCCCCAACCCCUUCUUUAUUUUUUAUUUUGAGACAGAGACUCACUAAGUUGCCCAGGCUGUGGUUCAACUUGCAAUCCUCCUGCUUCAGCUUCCCAGAGUACUGGGAUUCAAGCUGCGGCGACUUCUGAUCAACAAGUUGUCUCUGUUAAGCCAUUGGAAGCAAACAUCAAAGCAAAAUUCGUCAGAUGUAUUUGCCAAACCCAAAUACUUAAACUCCUUCCAUCCACUGAAAGACAAAGGCAAGUAUACACUUUCUCAUACUGGAGAUUCUUCCAGCAACAUCACGUUAACUCAGUUUCUAUCAACCGAGUAAGGCCAGGAAUCAUAAAAUCAAAGAACACUGUUUGGAGCAACUUGACAUUUAGAGGUAAAUGUCAGAGAAGAAAGUAUACUUCAUAUCAGAUGAGAUAUUCUGACCCAGGAGCAGAACAAGGUGGUCACAGCAGCUUUAUCAUUGCCUCCUUUAUCUUGAAUUCAUGGAAGAUUUAUUUCAAUGUGGUUUGAGUGUAACACAUUGCACCCUAAAUGCAAAAGAAUUGGUUUUGAUGGAAAUCUUGUCAGUUGCUCCUUCUUCUCAUGACCACAAGAUGUGCUUUCCUUUUUCAUAAAAUGACCUUGUCCACACAGCCUUUCCAAUCAUGGACUGGAAUAAGGAAACUUCACAAGC
Molecule: long non-coding RNA, 845 nt
Filed under: Heterocephalus glaber (naked mole-rat)
Lineage: Eukaryota; Metazoa; Chordata; Mammalia; Rodentia; Bathyergidae
Description: lncRNA (ENSHGLG00000039614.1)
Source: RNAcentral